Molecule: ribosomal RNA, 466 nt
Filed under: uncultured bacterium
Lineage: Bacteria
Description: partial 16S ribosomal RNA
Rfam family: Bacterial small subunit ribosomal RNA
Source: RNAcentral
GAUGAACGCUGGCGGCGUGCUUAACACAUGCAAGUCGAACGAUGAAGCCCAGCUUGCUGGGUGGAUUAGUGGCGAACGGGUGAGUAACACGUGAGUAACCUGCCCUUAACUCUGGGAUAAGCCUGGGAAACUGGGUCUAAUACCGGAUAGGAGCGUCCACCGCAUGGUGGGUGUUGGAAAGAUUUAUCGGUUUUGGAUGGACUCGCGGCCUAUCAGCUUGUUGGUGAGGUAAUGGCUCACCAAGGCGACGACGGGUAGCCGGCCUGAGAGGGUGACCGGCCACACUGGGACUGAGACACGGCCCAGACUCCUACGGGAGGCAGCAGUGGGGAAUAUUGCACAAUGGGCGCAAGCCUGAUGCAGCGACGCCGCGUAAGGGAUGACGGCCUUCGGGUUGUAAACCUCUUUCAGUAGGGAAGAAGCGAAAGUGACGGUACCUGCAGAAGAAGCACCGGCUAACUACGUG